UACAGAGGGGGCAAGCGUUGUUCGGAAUUACUGGGCGUAAAGGGCGCGUAGGCGGCCUGUUAAGUCGAACGUGAAAUCCCCGGGCUCAACCCGGGAACUGCGUCCGAUACUGGCAGGCUUGAAUUCGGGAGAGGGAUGCGGAAUUCCAGGUGUAGCGGUGAAAUGCGUAGAUAUCGGGAGGAACACCAGUGGCGAAGGCGACUUCCUGGCCUGUUCUUGACGCUGAGGCGCGAAAGCUAGGGGAGCAAACGGG
RNAcentral lists this ribosomal RNA (253 nucleotides) under uncultured bacterium. RNAcentral's name for it is "partial 16S ribosomal RNA". It matches the Rfam family "Bacterial small subunit ribosomal RNA", at positions 524 to 776 of the family's 1533-position model. The record is from RNAcentral.